RNAcentral lists this transfer RNA (72 nucleotides) under bacterium. RNAcentral describes it as "tRNA-Lys". It matches the Rfam family "tRNA", at positions 10 to 71 of the family's 71-position model. From Rfam's summary of the family: Transfer RNA (tRNA) molecules are approximately 80 nucleotides in length. The record is from RNAcentral.
GAGAGAUGCGUGGCGCAUAUGGUCAACGGACUUUUAAUCCGUAGGUCCAGGGUUCGAGCCCCUGCACCCUCA